UUUGAGAAAUUCUUGUAUAAAAAUAAUGUCAUAGAACUCAAUAUGCCUAGUAGUGUAAUAAAAUGUGUUAAAUAGAAAAAAAAAGUAUUUGGAAGUUUCAAGUCAGCAAUAGGAAGAAGAAAGAUUAGAAAUAGUUGAAUUUUCCAAAGCUCGAUUCUACAUGAGCUAAUUCAAAUCUGAAAUGAUUGGAAAUACCAUUGGGUUAGGCCUAAUUUAACUGAUUUGAUUAGAAUCAACCUCUUACUACAUGGAAAGACUAAGGCUCCAGAGCCAAGAACAGUUCAAAAAACUCAAAUUUUAUAUUUGCUUUUACCUGAUAGUAAAUAUUUGAUUAUAGUUGUUACUUAAAUGAAUCACACUAUAUGUAUUUUUGAAUAUAUCCUUUUAUAACAAUAAGAGAGUCUUCUGAUUAGAAACGAGUUUCUAACUCUAAUGCAUCAUACAGUUGAAGUCUAAAAGAACUCUACAUAUUAUCCGAAAAUUAAUGUGUACAAAGAAAAAAGGACUAAGUGCUUUUCUUAAGACUAAGUGCUGUUUAUUUUUCCUGCUAAUUACUGGUUGAGGUAAACUUGCCAUGUACAACAGAAUGAGUAAUAAACUAGAGUAUGCAGUCAUUUCCCAAUUAUAUUAGUUUUAUACAUGUGCUUAUUUCAACCCAGUACAAUUAAUUAUGAUUAUUAUGUUCGUCCAUUUAUAAAAUUUUGAACCGUUUUGUCUGAUGGACAUCUGUAGUUUUACAGUUUGGCAAACAGAACUCAUUUUAUAUUGAUGAAAUGAUGCUUCCUCAGUGCAAAAUAACUAUUUUGUAAAUUCAUGGAAAUAAUCAGUCAACUUCUAGUAUUCUGACAAGGAAAUUCUGAAUACCAAAUUGGUUUCCCACUAACACUAAAAUCCAGUUGGAAUGAGUCUUUUCUUCCCCCUGCAUGUUUGUUUAAUGCCAAUCUCCAUGAUUUCUAAGUAUACUAAUAAGCAUGUCAUGCUAAUUUUAAUUCUGAAACAGAGACAUGCAAGGAAACCUUUUUUUGUUUUAAUGUAAUUUGCUUCAAACAUCUUUAGGAUCUUUUGUUCACAAUGCAUCAGUGAGGAUGAAAAUCUCUACAUCUUUCAGAGUUUCCAGGAGGACCUCCAUGAUUGUCUAAUUGCAGGAUAGUCCAUGACUGAAUUCAGUUCUGAGUAGAAUUACAGAUUACUUCAACUAAUGCUACCCUAAUCCCAUCUUUUGGUACAAGGCAACAUUUCUCAUCCAGGAAGUGAGUGAACUCUGGAAAUUUUAGAAAAGUACCGAAAUGGCUUUAAAAACUGAAACCAAGUGCUCUGGCAUAAUUUAUUAACAGCUUCCUUAACCUAUUCAGCAAAAGGUCUAAUUUUGAUUGUAAUACCUGAACCCUGGAUAGACUCUUCAUUAAGGCAAGGCUCAAAAGUAUAUUUAGGUCAUUUAGAUUAGUGCUUCUCAAACUUUAAAGUGUACCUGAGUCAGGGGUAUCUUGUUAAAAUGAAGAUUUUGGGUCAGUAGAUGAGGGUAAGACGCUGCCUUUCCAAAGAAGCUCCCAGGUGACCCUGAUGGAACUGGGCUAGGACUCACACUUUGAGCAGCUCAGUUUUAAAAGGCUUAAGAUCCUCUUCAGGUAUGCGGAGCACUAGACUAAUGUUAAAUAUUUAUUGACCUUACUGAUAAAAACCACAAUUUCAUCUGCAAUUAACAAUACGUAUAGAGUGUAGUAUACAUUUGGAAGAAAAGGCAUUCAGCGAAGCUUUAGGAACUGGCAAACAAGCAUCAUGCACAUAGCCUCUGUGGUGUUAUUCUUCAUUUAGAAGAAAAUUUUGGAGAAAAGAUUGGUAAUCCAUGAAUUCCCAAUCUCCUCUAUAGCUUACAUAUAUUCUUGAGUCCCACUGUAUAUUUAAUUUUGCUCUCCUAUAGGACACUUUUCAAAAUUGCACUUCAUUAAAAUUUUAAUUCUUGUUUAAGAGAGACAUGUUUGAGAGGUUUAGAUUAUUUUCAUAUUGAUUUACUUAUUUUAAAACAAAGAACAAGUUAUAUAUGUGAGGAAAUCACUGAUACUGAGGAAACUUCUACAAAUAUUUUCACUUAAUAUUAAAUUAAUGCCCUGUGACUUGAUGAGAAUGGUAAUGGAAACAGUCUACAUUAUUACCUAUGGGUCUUAUCGAAAACUAACUGGAAAGUAAAGAUAACCCACCAGAGUCUUUCUGAAUGAGAUGAAAGCACCAUCUUUUACAAUGUGGUGCUGAGUUUAAAUGUUGCCACUUACAGGGCUGUUCUGAUCUAAAGUGCUACCAUUAACAGCAGUAUGACAAGCCAUUGUUAACCACCUACAGCUUUUGCUGGGCAAAAUUGAUGCUACCUAUUGCUUUGUAACUAAAGCACUGCUUUUCACAGUUGUAUUCCCAGUUAAGAGCUCAUAUUGAUAGAACAGGCCAAGGCAAACCUAAUACCCCCUUGUAUCCCAUUAUACAGUGGGUGGGUUGUAACAGUUAACCUUUACCUGCUCCUAAACUGCAGUGCCCUUCUUAACAGUGAACAGGUAAAGAACAACUGCAUGAUAUGAAUUGAACUUAUAUAAGGAUCUGAACACAAAGAAAGAGACAAAAGCUACCUUCGAAGUGCAAGCUUUGUCCAGACAUCAGCAACAUCCCCUAGACAGGCAGAAUGUUAAAGCCUCACUUGACUGCAUUAGCUGGAGCUUUUCACACUAGUGCACUUAAUGAAAAAAGCUACCAACCAAAGCACUCCACUCAGGAAAGCUGUUCCUAGUCGAAAGCUGGCAGCAAAUAAAAUAAAUACUACCUUCCACAGUGCUAGAAGAGUGGACUAGUCUAGGUCAUGUAAAUUUGAAACUAAAAUGUUCUUUCACAAUAAAGUGAAAUUGUCUGCUGAAUCCAAUAAAAAGUAUACUGGAUAUACUGUGCUUAAAAAAAAAAUAGAGAUAUGCUAGUUAGAUCAACAAUCAGGACUGUGCAGUAAUGACAAUCAUCAGAUACUUCUAUAGGAAAUUCUGGUUAAAGUGUACCAACACUGGAGAGAGACAUAUUCUUAACCACCCACAGUCUUUGCAUAUAAAAGAGAGGAUGCACUUCACCCUAUGCACUCCUGUCAAAGACAUAUAUGAAGUUAACUGUACUGUCCAGUGAUUAACCUCAUCUUGGCAUUAGGUUGGAAAUGAGAGAGAGUUCUGGAAAACACUCAAAAAUAGGGAUAGACGUAAUCCAAAUCAUGGGGAUCUGGCAGAAGCUGCAUAUUCUGUUCCAGAUCCUUUGUAAAUAUAGAUAAGGGAGAAGAGAUUAGUUAGGUUAAAAAUGAUAAUAUAUGAAAAGAUGUUCUUUGGUGAAUUUUUCUGAUAGGAAGGUAAAAGCAACCUAAAUACACAUUAAAACAUUAGCUUUAUUUUGUCCAUUUAUAAAAAGUCUUUUCUGUUUUUAAAUAUACUUCAAAUAGAAUUAGCUCCUGCAACCACAGAAAUAUAACUUUUUACUACAAAGCAGUUAGUGAAAAUAAGAGAAAGAAAUCAUAUUCUGAUAUAUAACACUUUUGUGGCCACAUGAUGAUAUGUGCUUUUAAUAAAGGCGGUUAAAGGUUGAAAUUGCACUGAUGGGGGUCCCCAGCAUGUGACAGUAUCACUUAAAAUCAGUAAACAACUGACAGUCCCUUUCAUACAAGUGACAAGGGUUUACACUCAAUUUUUAUGUCUUAUGUGCCUUGUUGGCCUGUAACAGAAAUCUGUUUUUUGAUUGUGUAUCCUUCAGGCAAUCUAGCCAUCAAGGGAAAACUAUAGUAGAAGAUUAAAAAUUCUUAGUCCUUUAAUCUAAAAAUACCUAAAAUAUAAAUUUGUGUAGGAAAAAUCACUCCCCACAAAUACAAGAAAAUCUAAAACUAGAAGUCAGAGAGCUAAAUUAGUUAUAAAAAACAGAAAAAAAGAAGUAUUUACUAUUUUUCAAACUGUUUUGGUGAAUGCCUAUGUUGGCAUAUUCUACGUGUUCUCAUCCUUAUCAGUCGUUAAAACAGACAGACCAAUGGAACAGAAUAGAGAAUCACUUUUGAUUCCAUUUUUAUCUGGCACACUGGACAGGUUCAUGGGACAUGCUGUUGGCUGUAGCUUUAAAAUCCAGAAACCAUUAGUACUUUAUCUGUUAACACACUGAUCUAAUCAUUUCUUAUCUAGAACUGGUAUAUUAGCCUCCUUACUGCUCUCCACUUAAUUCCUAAAGUUUCUUUUAAAACAAAAGUUUAUCUGUGUACUUUCUUUGGCAAAAUCCUUCAGUUGCAUUGUAUUUCAAUCAAAGUAAAAGCUAAAGUCUUUAUAGUAACUUAAAUACCCUGCACUAUCAGGUCUGGACACAAUGCCCUUUGCUUUCUUAUCCUGUAGUUUAGUUGGCAGGGUCAGAUGUCCAGUGUGUCUAGCAGAUUCCCAGGCCUUAAGAGACCACACAGCUAGAAGCCAUGAGCUAAGAGGUGUAGGCCCCUAAAUGCCCCCUUCACUGGCAACAGCAUUGAUGAGAUGGUAACCUGAGUGAAAAAUAAACAUAACAUAGGUUUAAACCACUGGGAUACUCUGGGAUUGUUUCUGUAUUUACCCUACCCCAAGUAAAAUACCGUGAUAAAGAAAGGUCACACAAGCCGUUUUACUUAUUUUUUAUUAAUUUUUUUAGCUUUAUUGUGGUAUAUUUGAGAAACAUCCACACUGUUUUCCAUAGAGGCUACACUAAUUUAUAUUUCCACCUACAGUGAGCAAAAAUUUCUUUUUGUCCACACCCUAGCUAACUCUCACUCAUUUGUCCUUUUGAGGGCAGCCAUUCUACAGGUGUGAGGUGAUAUCUUGCUGUGGCUUUGAUUUGCAUUUCUGUGAUGAUUAGUGAUGUCGUAUACCAUUUCAUAUAUUGUGGCCCAAUGGUGUGUCUUCUUUGAAAAAAAAGAAGUCUAAUCAGUUCCUUUGCUCACUUUUUAAGCAGAUUGCUGUUGUUAUUUUUAAACUCCAAGUUUAUUUAUUUGUUUUUAAUUUUUUAAUUUUAGGUGACUUACUAUUUUGUGUUAGUUUCAGGUGUACAGCAAAAUUAAUCAUUUUCAGGUCUUUUUCAGCUGUUUUUAAAAGA
This 5103-nucleotide long non-coding RNA is filed under the name Sus scrofa (pig). RNAcentral's name for it is "lncRNA (ENSSSCG00030006489.1)". Lineage: Eukaryota; Metazoa; Chordata; Mammalia; Artiodactyla; Suidae. The record is from RNAcentral.